GACAGAUGGGAGCUUGCUCCCUGAUGUUAGCGGCGGACGGGUGAGUAACACGUGGGUAACCUGCCUGUAAGACUGGGAUAACUCCGGGAAACCGGGGCUAAUACCGGAUGGUUGUUUGAACCGCAUGGUUCAAACAUAAAAGGUGGCUUCGGCUACCACUUACAGAUGGACCCGCGGCGCAUUAGCUAGUUGGUGAGGUA
This 200-nucleotide ribosomal RNA is filed under the name Bacillus subtilis. RNAcentral describes it as "partial 16S ribosomal RNA". It matches the Rfam family "Bacterial small subunit ribosomal RNA", at positions 68 to 259 of the family's 1533-position model. Lineage: Bacteria; Bacillati; Bacillota; Bacilli; Caryophanales; Bacillaceae. The record is from RNAcentral.